RNAcentral lists this transfer RNA (76 nucleotides) under Bacillota bacterium. RNAcentral's name for it is "Firmicutes bacterium (anaerobic digester metagenome) tRNA-Val". It matches the Rfam family "tRNA". Rfam says of the family: Transfer RNA (tRNA) molecules are approximately 80 nucleotides in length. Lineage: Bacteria; Bacillati; Bacillota. The record is from RNAcentral. RNAcentral also lists the same sequence under 1 other name.
GGGCGGAUAGCUCAGCUGGGAGAGCACCUGCCUUACAAGCAGGGGGUCGGCGGUUCAAGCCCGUCUCCGCCCACCA